UGCCAGCCGCCGCGGUAAUACGGGGGGGGCAAGCGUUGUUCGGAAUUACUGGGCGUAAAGGGUUCGUAGGUGGCCCGCUAAGUCAGACGUGAAAUCCCUCAGCUCAACUGGGGAACUGCGUCUGAGACUGGUGGGCUCGAGUGCAGGAGAGGAACGCGGAAUUCCAGGUGUAGCGGUGAAAUGCGUAGAUAUCUGGAGGAACACCGGUGGCGAAGGCGGCGUUCUGGACUGUUACUGACACUGAGGAACGAAAGCCAGGGGAGCGAACAGGAUUAGAUA
RNAcentral lists this ribosomal RNA (279 nucleotides) under uncultured bacterium. Its description in RNAcentral is "partial 16S ribosomal RNA". It matches the Rfam family "Bacterial small subunit ribosomal RNA", at positions 506 to 784 of the family's 1533-position model. The record is from RNAcentral.